Molecule: microRNA precursor, 101 nt
Filed under: Chlorocebus sabaeus (green monkey)
Lineage: Eukaryota; Metazoa; Chordata; Mammalia; Primates; Cercopithecidae
Description: miRNA (ENSCSAG00000027190.1)
Source: RNAcentral
UGAGGCAGGAGAAUUGCUUGAACCCAGGAGGUGGAGGCUGCAGUGAGCCAAGAUCGUGCCACUGUACUCCAGCCUGGGUGACAGAGUGAGACUCUAUCUCA